UGUGUCCUUCAGGCGCAGAUAUCAACAGCUUCAGCACUCCCGUGUCCUCUGCGGAAGGACUGGGAUCUGUAGUCGAUGAACUUCAGAGAUAUGGGAAGCCUGUGGUGGCCGCUAUCGAAGGCGUGGCCCUCGGAGGGGGACUGGAGCUGGCGCUGGGCUGUCACUACAGGAUUGCGCACGCACAGGCUAAAGUGGGUUUCCCGGAAGUCACGAUAGGAAUUCUUCCUGGUGGAAGAGGGACCCAGAUUUCUCCCAGACUCAUUGGCCUUCCGGCUGCCCUUGACUUAAUCACCUCAGGAAGACAUGUUUUGGCAGGGGAAGCGCUCAAGUUGGGUAUUUUGGAUAAAGUAGUGAACUCAGACCUACUCGAAGAAGCAAUCAAAUUCACCCAGAAAAUU
This is a long non-coding RNA of Octodon degus (degu), 398 nucleotides long. RefSeq lists it as uncharacterized. The transcript is spliced from 3 exons. NCBI's taxonomy places the organism in Eukaryota, Metazoa, Chordata, Mammalia, Rodentia, Octodontidae. The record is from RefSeq and is a predicted model, not a curated record.